GUGGUGGUAAAGGAAUAAAUGGAACCGUGGUUAGCAUGAGGUUGAUAACUAUGGAAGCUGGGAUAUGGGAGUUUAAUAUGCAGUUCUCUUUACUUUUAGAGGCAUUUGAGAUUUUCAAUAACAAAAACUGUUUUUAAAAAACCCUAUUUCUUCUCGGCCCCACCCUCCCCGCAGCGUUCCCGCCAUCUUUAGCGCCAGAGGAUCUUCUCCGCCUCGCCCUCUCCUGCAGUCUGUGUUCCCACCAUCUUCAGUGCCAGAGGGUCUUCUCCACUGGGCCCUCUCCUGCAAGCUGCAUUCCGCCAUCUUCAGCACCAGAGGGUCUUCUCGGCCUGGCACUGCCCUGCUGGCACUGCUGCUGCCAUCUUCGGUGCUAGAAAGGUGAGUCAGUUUGAGGAGGAGAAAAGAAAAUAUCAAAAGCGUGAGUUGCUGAGAUGGAACCUUCUCCCCGCUGCUAAAACUGUGCACUGAUGCUGUGUCUGAC
RNAcentral lists this long non-coding RNA (481 nucleotides) under Fukomys damarensis (Damara mole-rat). RNAcentral describes it as "lncRNA (ENSFDAG00000022607.1)". The record is from RNAcentral. Lineage: Eukaryota; Metazoa; Chordata; Mammalia; Rodentia; Bathyergidae.